GUCUACAGCCAUGCCACCCUUAACAAGCCCAAUCCUGUCUGAUCUCGGAAGCUCAAGUAGGGUCCGGCCUGGUUAGUACUUGGAUGGGAGACCACUUAGGAAGACCAGGUGCUGUAGGUG
Molecule: ribosomal RNA, 120 nt
Organism: Pteropus vampyrus (large flying fox)
Lineage: Eukaryota; Metazoa; Chordata; Mammalia; Chiroptera; Pteropodidae
Source: Ensembl